This 369-nucleotide ribosomal RNA is filed under the name uncultured Psychrobacter sp. Its description in RNAcentral is "bacterial SSU rRNA". It matches the Rfam family "Bacterial small subunit ribosomal RNA", at positions 449 to 813 of the family's 1533-position model. Lineage: Bacteria; Pseudomonadati; Pseudomonadota; Gammaproteobacteria; Moraxellales; Moraxellaceae. The record is from RNAcentral.
CUCUUCGGUUAAUACCCGGAGACGAUGACAUUAGCUGCAGAAUAAGCACCGGCUAACUCUGUGCCAGCAGCCGCGGUAAUACAGAGGGUGCAAGCGUUAAUCGGAAUUACUGGGCGUAAAGCGAGCGUAGGUGGCUUGAUAAGUCAGAUGUGAAAUCCCCGGGCUUAACCUGGGAACUGCAUCUGAAACUGUUAGGCUAGAGUAGGUGAGAGGGAAGUAGAAUUUCAGGUGUAGCGGUGAAAUGCGUAGAGAUCUGAAGGAAUACCGAUGGCGAAGGCAGCUUCCUGGCAUCAUACUGACACUGAGGCUCGAAAGCGUGGGUAGCAAACAGGAUUAGAUACCCUGGUAGUCCACGCCGUAAACGAUGUC